This 253-nucleotide ribosomal RNA is filed under the name uncultured bacterium. RNAcentral's name for it is "partial 16S ribosomal RNA". It matches the Rfam family "Bacterial small subunit ribosomal RNA", at positions 524 to 776 of the family's 1533-position model. The record is from RNAcentral.
UACAUGGGGGGCAAGCGUUGUUCGGAAUUACUGGGCGUAAAGGGCUCGUAGGUGGCCACUUAAGUCAGACGUGAAAUCCCUCAGCUUAACUGGGGAACUGCGUCUGAUACUGGGUGGCUUGAGUCCGGGAGAGGGAUGCAGAAUUCCAGGUGUAGCGGUGAAAUGCGUAGAUAUCUGGAGGAAUACCGGUGGCGAAGGCGGCAUCCUGGACCGGCAUUGACGCUGAGGAGCGAAAGCCAGGGGAGCAAACGGG